AUGCAAGUCGAACGAUGAACCACUUCGGUGGGGAUUAGUGGCGAACGGGUGAGUAACACGUGGGCAAUCUGCCCUGCACUCUGGGACAAGCCCUGGAAACGGGGUCUAAUACCGGAUACAACCACUGACCGCAUGGUCGGGUGGUGGAAAGCUCCGGCGGUGCAGGAUGAGCCCGCGGCCUAUCAGCUUGUUGGUGAGGUAAUGGCUCACCAAGGCGACGACGGGUAGCCGGCCUGAGAGGGCGACCGGCCACACUGGGACUGAGACACGGCCCAGACUCCUACGGGAGGCAGCAGUGGGGAAUAUUGCACAAUGGGCGCAAGCCUGAUGCAGCGACGCCGCGUGAGGGAUGACGGCCUUCGGGUUGUAAACCUCUUUCAGCAGGGAAGAAGCGAAAGUGACGGUACCUGCAGAAGAAGCGCCGGCUAACUACGUGCCAGCAGCG
This 445-nucleotide ribosomal RNA is filed under the name Streptomyces sp. HVXM-17-4. RNAcentral describes it as "bacterial SSU rRNA". It matches the Rfam family "Bacterial small subunit ribosomal RNA", at positions 55 to 516 of the family's 1533-position model. Lineage: Bacteria; Bacillati; Actinomycetota; Actinomycetes; Kitasatosporales; Streptomycetaceae. The record is from RNAcentral.